Molecule: non-coding RNA, 849 nt
Organism: Pelobates cultripes (western spadefoot toad)
Lineage: Eukaryota; Metazoa; Chordata; Amphibia; Anura; Pelobatidae
Source: the annotation of a GenBank genome assembly
UAUAACUUCAUAUACGUGUGCAUGUAUGUAAAAAAGAACCCAUUCUACUCAUGAAAUAGCUUUAGUUUAAAAAGAGAAAAAAAUAUAUAUACAACAAAAUGUAUAGUUUAGUAAGUCCUUGUCAGUUUACAUUAGAUAUUGUUUUUAUCAAUUCUGUAAUUUUCACAUAGUAUUACUACUACUACAAAUAUAAAGUUUCUGGUUCCACAACUUGCUCAUACAGGAAGCUGUUGCAGACAUUUUAUUAGGUAAAAUUUUAGUACUAGUGUUAUUAGGGAAAAAUUACUAUUAAUGACUGGUAAUUUUUAACUACAUAUAGAUUUAAACCACUGAGGACCUCUUAUCUCUUCAAUGAAUAAUGUACAAGUUCAUAAGGAGCUAUGUCUUGUUAUUUUAUAUGUUAUUUUCACAGAGACACUUCAGAGAGUUGGCAAAAAAAAAAGUCCAAAAAUAUCAUUUAAAAUGUGAUGCUCAGAAAGAAUUUGACAUAAUUCUGUAUUGUAUUCUGCUGGGUUGUAUUUUGCUAUUUCAUUCAUGUAAACAUCCAAUUCAUCCUUAGGGUAGUCGACAGCCAGUUUGUGAUUUUUCAUUUGUAGUUAUUUUAAUUUAAUUUUUUUCUUUCCAGCCAUAUAUAGCACUGGUUAUCAUUGAGGGUCUAAAAAAAAAACCUAAAAUGUGAAUCCUUUUAGGAAUAAAUUGUAAGAAUUUGCAAAUUGGUCUAUAACACAUAAUUAUGUAGGCGUACCUUAUCCUGAAAAUAUUGUUUUAAUUCUCUUUUAAAGGCUUUGAGAAAAGAUGGCAUAUAAUAUAUCCUACAAUAUAUAGAUUAGUAUACUUUUUAAGAACAAG